AUGUUAGCCAGGAAGGCAGCACACAUACAUUUGGAAAGGUAUAUCAAGGAUUCAACAUUCAACCAAGCCACAGCUCAACGUAUCUGCAAAUUCGCAGGGAGCCUCUGCUUGGUUCUGAACCCCCUCAGCACCCUGCAUUCAGUUGGACUGAUGGCUCUGCUGUUUGUGGGAGCUGCAGUGAGAAACUCCUGGGCGAGAGGCAGCAUCGUGUACGUCUGUGUUGGUAUGGCUGGCAUAAUGGGGAUUCACUCACACCGGUAUCCAAGAGCAGCGAAGUGCCUCCAGGGUCAGCCCGAUUCCAGGUAACACAAUGGUAACGCGAGCUCCUUUGGCUCCAGCAGGAGGCUCAUUACGAAGAGUGAAGGAUGGAGCCCAUGUAAAUUUAGCGUCACCUCUUGGGAAAUGAAGAGCACAAAGAGAAGGGAAAUGCCGUGGAUCAUCUCUCCCUGUCGAAUAAAUCCAGUCGGUGGCACCGAUCCCA
Molecule: long non-coding RNA, 481 nt
Filed under: Numida meleagris (helmeted guineafowl)
Lineage: Eukaryota; Metazoa; Chordata; Aves; Galliformes; Numididae
Description: lncRNA (ENSNMEG00000013749.1)
Source: RNAcentral